CGUUCCCGGGCCUUGUACACACCGCCCGUCACACCACGAAAGUGGGCAACACCCGAAGCCGGUGGCCCAACCCUUGUGGAGGGAGCCGUCGAGGGUGGGGCUCGCGAUUGGGGUG
RNAcentral lists this ribosomal RNA (115 nucleotides) under uncultured bacterium. Its description in RNAcentral is "partial 16S ribosomal RNA". It matches the Rfam family "Bacterial small subunit ribosomal RNA", at positions 1369 to 1482 of the family's 1533-position model. The record is from RNAcentral.